AGCUCAGUUGGUAGAGCAGUUGACUUUUAAUCAAUUGGUCGCAGGUUCGAAUCCUGCACGACCCACUUAGCUCAGUUGGGAGAGCACCUGCCUUACAAGCAGGGGGUCACUGGUUCUAGCCCGGUAUCGCCCACCAUCUUUAAGCGCAUUUUAACUGAAUACAUAGGUUAAUGAGGCGAACCGGGGGAACUGAAACAUCUAAGUACCCCGAGGAAAAGAAAUCAACCGAGAUUCCGAAAGUAGCGGCGAGCGAAAUUGGACUAGCCCUUAAGCUUUACACGCGUUAGACGAACGGUCUGGAAAGUCCGACGAUACAGGGUGAUAGUCCCGUAGUUGACGACGUGUGUUCAGUGAAAUCGAGUAGGGCGGGACACGUGAUAUCCUGUCUGAAUAUGGGGGGACCAUCCUCCAAGGCUAAAUACUACUGACUGACCGAUAGUGAACCAGUACCGUGAGGGAAAGGCGAAAAGAACCCCUGUGAGGGGAGUGAAAUAGAACCUGAAACCGUGUACGUACAAGCAGUAGGAGCAGGCUUUGUCCUGUGACUGCGUACCUUUUGUAUAAUGGGUCAGCGACUUAUAUUCAGUGGCAAGGUUAACCAUCUAGGGGAGCCGUAGGGAAACCGAGUCUUAACUGGGCGUUCAGUCUCUGGAUAUAGACCCGAAACCAGGUGAUCUAGCCAUGGGCAGGUUGAAGGUUGAGUAACAUCAACUGGAGGACCGAACCGACUAAUGUUGAAAAAUUAGCGGAUGACUUGUGGCUAGGGGUGAAAGGCCAAUCAAACCUGGAGAUAGCUGGUUCUCCCCGAAAGCUAUUUAGGUAGCGCCUCGGACGAAUACUACUGGGGGUAGAGCACUGUUAAGGCUAGGGGGUCAUCCCGACUUACCAACCCUUUGCAAACUCCGAAUACCAGUAAGUACUAUCCGGGAGACACACGGCGGGUGCUAACGUCCGUCGUGGAGAGGGAAACAACCCAGACCGCCAGCUAAGGUCCCAAAUUACUACUAAGUGGGAAACGAUGUGGGAAGGCUCAGACAGCCAGGAUGUUGGCUUAGAAGCAGCCAUCAUUUAAAGAAAGCGUAAUAGCUCACUGGUCGAGUCGGCCUGCGCGGAAGAUGUAACGGGGCUAAGUAGUAAACCGAAGCUGCGGCAAUAUACUUUUGUAUAUUGGGUAGGGGAGCGUUCUGUAAGCGGUUGAAGGUGUGUGGUAACGCAUGCUGGACGUAUCAGAAGUGCGAAUGCUGACAUGAGUAACGAUAAAGGGGGUGAAAAACCUCCUCGCCGGAAGACCAAGGGUUCCUGUCCAACGUUAAUCGGGGCAGGGUAAGUCGACCCCUAAGGCGAGGCCGAAAGGCGUAGUCGAUGGGAAACGGGUUAAUAUUCCCGUACUUCUUACAAUUGCGAUGGGGGGACGGAGAAGGCUAGGUGGGCCUGGCGACGGUUGUCCAGGUUCAAGUGCGUAGGCUUAAGAGUUAGGUAAAUCCGGCUCUUUCUAAGGCUGAGACACGACGUCGAGCAUCUACGGAUGUGAAGUCAUUGAUGCCAUGCUUCCAGGAAAAGCCUCUAAGCUUCAGAUUGUAAGGAAUCGUACCCCAAACCGACACAGGUGGUCGGGUAGAGAAUACCAAGGCGCUUGAGAGAACUCGGGUGAAGGAACUAGGCAAAAUGGUACCGUAACUUCGGGAGAAGGUACGCUCUUGAUGGUGAAGUCCCUCGCGGAUGGAGCUGACGAGAGUCGCAGAUACCAGGUGGCUGCAACUGUUUAUUAAAAACACAGCACUGUGCAAAAUCGUAAGAUGACGUAUACGGUGUGACGCCUGCCCGGUGCCGGAAGGUUAAUUGAUGGGGUUAGACUUCGGUCGAAGCUCUUGAUCGAAGCCCCGGUAAACGGCGGCCGUAACUAUAACGGUCCUAAGGUAGCGAAAUUCCUUGUCGGGUAAGUUCCGACCUGCACGAAUGGCGUAAUGAUGGCCACGCUGUCUCCACCCGAGACUCAGUGAAAUUGAAAUCGCUGUGAAGAUGCAGUGUACCCGCGGCUAGACGGAAAGACCCCGUGAACCUUUACUACAGCUUGGCACUGAACAUUGACCCUACAUGUGUAGGAUAGGUGGGAGGCUUUGAAGCACGUACGCCAGUAUGUGUGGAGCCGUCCUUGAAAUACCACCCUUGUAGUGUUGAUGUUCUAACGUCGACCCCUUAUCGGGGUUGCGGACAGUGCCUGGUGGGUAGUUUGACUGGGGCGGUCUCCUCCCAAAGAGUAACGGAGGAGCACGAAGGUGGGCUAAUCACGGUUGGACAUCGUGAGGUUAGUGCAAUGGCAUAAGCCCGCUUGACUGCGAGAAUGACAAUUCGAGCAGGUGCGAAAGCAGGUCAUAGUGAUCCGGUGGUUCUGAAUGGAAGGGCCAUCGCUCAACGGAUAAAAGGUACUCCGGGGAUAACAGGCUGAUACCGCCCAAGAGUUCAUAUCGACGGCGGUGUUUGGCACCUCGAUGUCGGCUCAUCACAUCCUGGGGCUGAAGUCGGUCCCAAGGGUAUGGCUGUUCGCCAUUUAAAGUGGUACGCGAGCUGGGUUUAGAACGUCGUGAGACAGUUCGGUCCCUAUCUGCCGUGGGCGUUGGAAGAUUGAAGGGGGCUGCUCCUAGUACGAGAGGACCGGAGUGGACGAACCUCUGGUGUUCGGGUUGUGUCGCCAGACGCAUUGCCCGGUAGCUAAGUUCGGAAUCGAUAACCGCUGAAAGCAUCUAAGCGGGAAGCGAGCCCUGAGAUGAGUCUUCCCUGAUACUUUAAGUAUCCUAAAGGGUUGUCGGAGACUACGACGUUGAUAGGUCAGGUGUGUAAGUGCUGUGAGGCAUUGAGCUAACUGAUACUAAUUGCCCGUGAGGCUUAACCAU
This 2891-nucleotide ribosomal RNA is filed under the name Vibrio parahaemolyticus. Its description in RNAcentral is "bacterial LSU rRNA". It matches the Rfam family "Bacterial large subunit ribosomal RNA". The record is from RNAcentral. Lineage: Bacteria; Pseudomonadati; Pseudomonadota; Gammaproteobacteria; Vibrionales; Vibrionaceae.